CUCCAAUGGCGUAUAUUAAAGUUGUUGCAGUUAAAAAGCUCGUAGUUGAAUUUGUGGCUGUUGCAGGCGGCGUGACACUUAGUGUUAUUGCUAGCUUAUGACGCCAUCCUUGGGUGGAACCUGUGUGGCAUUAGGUUGUCGUGCAGGGGAUGCCCAUCAUUUACUGUGAAAAAAUUAGAGUGUUCAAAGCAGGCUUAUGCCGUUGAAUAUAUUAGCAUGGAAUAAUAAGAUAGGACCUUGGUACUAUUUUGUUGGUUUGCGCACCGAGGUAAUGAUUAAUAGGGACAGUUGGGGGUAUUCGUAUUCCAUUGUCAGAGGUGAAAUUCUUGGAUUUUUGGAAGACGAACUACUGCGAAAGCAUUUACCAAGGA
RNAcentral lists this ribosomal RNA (371 nucleotides) under uncultured Symbiodinium. Its description in RNAcentral is "partial Eukaryotic small subunit ribosomal RNA". It matches the Rfam family "Eukaryotic small subunit ribosomal RNA", at positions 589 to 964 of the family's 1831-position model. Lineage: Eukaryota; Dinophyceae; Suessiales; Symbiodiniaceae. The record is from RNAcentral.